GGUUUGGGUGUUUAAUAUUUUUUUGUUUCGUGUUUGCCAUGAAAGGAAAACAAAACAUGGAGGAGGUCCCAUACAACC
Molecule: microRNA precursor, 78 nt
Filed under: Bos taurus (domestic cattle)
Lineage: Eukaryota; Metazoa; Chordata; Mammalia; Artiodactyla; Bovidae
Description: microRNA bta-mir-2421 precursor
Source: miRBase by way of RNAcentral